GGUUGUGUAGUGUAGCGGUUAGCACUUUGGAUUUUGAAGAGGACAUCCUCUCAUUUCCAACAACCCCGGUUCGAACCCGGGCACGACCU
This is a non-coding RNA of Achaetomium macrosporum, 89 nucleotides long. The record is from the annotation of a GenBank genome assembly. Lineage: Eukaryota; Fungi; Ascomycota; Sordariomycetes; Sordariales; Chaetomiaceae.